GACGAACCGUGCGAACGUUGUUCGGAAUCACUGGGCUUAAAGGGCGCGUAGGCGGGCCAUAAAGUCAGGGGUGAAAUCCUCCAGCUUAACUGGAGAACUGCCUUUGAUACUGAUGGUCUCGAGUAAGGUAGGGGCAUGCGGAACUGAUGGUGGAGCGGUGAAAUGUGUUGAUAUCAUCAGGAACUCCGGUGGCGAAGGCGGCAUGCUGGACCUUCACUGGCGCUGAGGCGCGAAAGCUAGGGGAGCGAACGGG
RNAcentral lists this ribosomal RNA (253 nucleotides) under uncultured bacterium. Its description in RNAcentral is "partial 16S ribosomal RNA". It matches the Rfam family "Bacterial small subunit ribosomal RNA", at positions 524 to 776 of the family's 1533-position model. The record is from RNAcentral.